GUGAAUCAUCGAAUCUUUGAACGCACAUUGCGCCCCUUGGUAUUCCAUGGGGCAUGCCUGUUCGAGCGUCAUUUGUACCCUCAAGCUCUGCUUGGUGUUGGGUGUUUGUCCCGCCUUCGCGCGUGGACUCGCCUUAAAGUGAUUGGCAGCCGGAAUAAUUCUGGGGAACGCAGCACAACUGCAGCCUCCAUUUUACGCCGAGCGUCCAGUAAGCCUUUUUUCAACGUUUGACCUCGGAUCAGGUAGGGAUACCCGCUGAACUUAAGCAUAUCAAUAAGCGGAGGA
RNAcentral lists this unclassified non-coding RNA (285 nucleotides) under Pyrenochaeta sp. RNAcentral's name for it is "partial contains 5.8S ribosomal RNA, internal transcribed spacer 2, and large subunit ribosomal RNA". The stretch from base 1 to 71 matches the Rfam family "5.8S ribosomal RNA", at positions 84 to 154 of the family's 154-position model. The record is from RNAcentral. Lineage: Eukaryota; Fungi; Ascomycota; Dothideomycetes; Pleosporales; Cucurbitariaceae.